Molecule: long non-coding RNA, 1338 nt
Filed under: Equus caballus (horse)
Lineage: Eukaryota; Metazoa; Chordata; Mammalia; Perissodactyla; Equidae
Description: lncRNA (ENSECAG00000051588.1)
Source: RNAcentral
CUAUGGUCACUUUAUUGGGUGGGGCAAGCCCCAGUACGGCUGGCUGUAAGGUCUAACAGCACAGAAUGAGUGCUGUUUUGUUGUUACGCAAGUUACUCCCCCAGUGUGGCUGGUUGUUAGACUCAGAGGUUCACAAUUGCUUCAGGCCUCCAGUGCAGCUCUCUGCAUCAUGCAACUGUUGUGGGUUCUCUCAGGAGUGCAGAUGGGUGGGGCCAGCCCCAGGAACACAGUCCACAAUCUUUUCAGGUGUUGGUAUGUAAGGCAGAUUCCCUAUGUGGCUGUUUCAGAUGGCUGGCAGCACAAGUCUGCUGAUGCAGAUAUGCCCCACCACCUGCAGGUCCCAUGCACUCCACUAAUGCGGGCUCACCUGUCUGUAUGCCCUCCUACCCUGGGGUUGACCCGCUUGACCUGCAGCAGAGUUCCCAUCGUUCCCAUAGUUCCCACCUAUGUGAGCACACAAGUUUGCUGCUGGCUUGCUGGUGGCAGGGACAGUGCCUGGUUUGGGCUGCCUGUCCUGACUGUGCUUGAUUAAAUCAGUGCUCUAGUGGGCAGGGCAAACCCUUGUGCUCACAGGCUAGAGGAAGGAAUCCAAUGACAUCUGCCAGUGUCUGUGUCAGCACCACUGAACUAGGUCACAAUAAUAGCUGCUUCCAGUAUCUCAGUCCCUGGUGGGUGGGCUCAGCUGCCUCCUGCCUCUCUGAGAUGUGCUCAGUGCCUAACAAAUGCAAGUCAUUCUUUGCUCUGAUGAUUAAGAGAUGGUAGAUGGCUGUCGAGUCCCAACAUGUAGAUGAAGAAGGUUAUCUAAAGAAAAAUCACAAAGAGUCAAUGACUUCAGCCCUUGGGGCAGGAGGAGAAGAUGCAGUUACAGGAAUCACUCAGCCCUGGACAUUCGGAAACUUUCUUGUGCACUGGGAAGGACUCUGGUGCAAUUUUCAGGUUUUCUUUCUGACUCUUGUAUUUUCUGCCUUCAGGAUUUCUGUAUUCACACGCCAGCUUCUUCAAAACUGUAAUGUACAAAAGACUAACUGCUAACUGAUGAUGUUUAGACAAAGGUUGCCUUGAUCGAAUACAUUUGAGACACUCAUUCUCAAUCUUUUUCAGGGAUUUGAGUCCUCAGAAAUAAUGCAGAUAAAAAUUUACCAACUGUCAUGGGGCUGCCCUCGUGGCCGAGUGGUUGAGUUCGCGUGCUCCGCUGCAGGUGGCCCAGUGUUUUGUUGGUUCGAAUCCUGGGCGCGGACAUGGCACUGCUCAUCAGGCCACGCUGAGGCAGCAUCCCACAUGCCACAGCUGGAGGGACCCACAGCGAAGAAUAUACAACUAUGUACCAGGGGCCUUGGG